GAGUGCGAUCAUACCUACACUAAAGCAUCGGAUCCCAUUAGAAUUCCAAAGUUUAGUGUGCUUGGGCGAGACUAGUAUUAGGAUGGGUGACCCCUUGGGAAGUCCUCGUGUUGCACUCC
Molecule: ribosomal RNA, 119 nt
Organism: Musa acuminata AAA Group (dessert banana)
Lineage: Eukaryota; Viridiplantae; Streptophyta; Magnoliopsida; Zingiberales; Musaceae
Source: RefSeq, a predicted model, not a curated record